RNAcentral lists this long non-coding RNA (1951 nucleotides) under Sus scrofa (pig). RNAcentral describes it as "lncRNA (ENSSSCG00055013695.1)". The record is from RNAcentral. Lineage: Eukaryota; Metazoa; Chordata; Mammalia; Artiodactyla; Suidae.
CUUUUUAUGGCUACACCUGCAGCACAUGAACAUUGCUGGGCUAGUGGUCAAAUCGGAGCUGCAGCUGCCGGUCUACACCACAGGCUCAGCAACAUGGGACCCGAGUCUCAUCUGAGAACAGAUCCUUAACCCACUGAGCAAGGCCAGGGAUCGAACCCAAGUCCUUAUAAAAAAUAGGCCAUAAAUACAUAUAAAGAGUAAAGAAAAGAAAAGAAUAGGGUAGUGAAGUAAAUCCUGUGAUAAACCUAGAAGACAACUAUAUUAGUCUUCUGUUAAUCAAGCAAAAGGAGUCUAUUCAAAACCUGGAAAGAAAGCAAAGAGCCACAUAACAAAACAAAACAAAACAAAACAAGCACACCACUCAUCCUUUAGUUCCAUUAUGUCAUUGUGGAAAAAAUCUGGGUUUGAAGUUGGAUCUUGUUACUUAUUAGUUGUGUACACAGGCAACUUUCUUUCUCGGGUUCUGACUUUCCCUUUCUGUAAAAUGGAUGUAAUUACAGUGUCGACCUCAAGGCUCUGCUGGAGAUAAAAUGAGAAAGGCUCACUCCCUAGAGGUGUGGCCCUCACUGGGUAGGUGGAGGACAAGGGUGUGGGGUGCCCUGCAGGGCUCUGCCACAGGCCACGUUAUUGUCAUCUGGUCCCAGAACAGCCAGCUCUUUAGCUCUGCCCUCAAAGCAACAAAGCGCAGUGAAAGCCCCCAUUAUCCCAUCCGCUUAAGUGACCUUCCAUAGUUUUAAAGGGAAAAUUCCCUAAACAUGAUCCUUUUCAAAUCUCUUUUGAACCUGAAUCUCACGCAGUAACCUGGGCUUGGGCUUGGUGUGAAAUAUGAGGAUAGACACACCCUGCAUUUACAGAUGAGCUGGAAGCAGUGCUUUCACACAGUGUUCCUAUAACCUCCUAAAUGAAUUUGCUCUGCUUGUCCCAUGCUGUGCCAACGGAAACCGCCCGUGGAAACCAAAGAGCUAGUCUGGGUGGACGAUGCUGUAAAUAACAUCCACCAGGAAAAAAAAAAAAAUCCUGAGGAAAAUUAAUUUUCCACAGCGGAACAGAGCAGGGAAAACAGAACUUGCUUCUCCUGCUUAUGAUUUAUAACAGGUCCCCUCUUAACUCACAAUAAUGAAUCACUGACUUUUCCUCCAAGGAGUUCAUUCUGUCUCUGAGUUGGACUCUGUAUAUACGGAAAUCCAAGGACAGGAACCUUCCUUCCAGUUGGGAUUCCUCCACGCUGUGCUUCCACAUCCUGUCCUCUCCAACAGCCACAAAAAAAAUCUCCCAAAGGAAUUUCUCCAAAGGGACCCUUCUCCCUCACUCCCUUCCCGAUUUGUCAGAAUUCUCAGCCGAGUUUCAUCAAGAGUCAAGUUUCCAACAAUUGGAUUAAGACAUAAAAUUCAUAUUCUUCUAAAGAUUUUUCUGAUUCAAAGGUAUAUGUCCAACCACUGAUGAAAACCCAUAAGAAAAUGUGAUCAAAGUAUGGUGUGUUUUGUAAUUGUAUUUAAGUUUUAAAACAUGUAUUUAACAAAUCUUAGAGUAACUAUCUUACUGCUAUAGUUAUGUAACAUGUUAUUUAGGAAUCAUAUUUAUUCCAAAUUCCAGAAAGCUUAGUUCUGUUUCCAUUUAAUAAUUGUACCUCGACUUGCUCAAAGCCAGCCUUUUCUUAGCAGUGUUUCCACAGAUCUUCCACUGCCAAAUCUAGAGGUACACGUCUCAAUGUCCAGAUACCUUGGCAGAAUCUGCCCCCAAUGAUCAUUUGUUCUCUUCUUCUAAAAACAUUUUAUCGCAUUGGCCAUGACAACCACACUCUUCACAUUUUCCUACCACCUCUGCUCCUUCUUAGGGUCCUUUGAAGUGGCUCUUCUUCCACCUAUAACUUCAAUCUGGCUUUUCCUCAGGGCUCUACUCUAGGCUUCUGUCUUCUCACUCUAAACUCUGCUUCAGCAGCCUGACCCAGGUC